Molecule: ribosomal RNA, 446 nt
Filed under: uncultured bacterium
Lineage: Bacteria
Description: partial 16S ribosomal RNA
Rfam family: Bacterial small subunit ribosomal RNA
Source: RNAcentral
CCUACGGGGGGCAGCAGUCGAGAAUCAUUCACAAUGGGGGCAACCCUGAUGGUGCGACGCCGCGUGGGGGAAUGCAGGUCUUCGGAUUGUAAACCCCUGUCAUGUGGGAGCAAAUUAAAAAGAUAGUACCACAAGAGGAAGAGACGGCUAACUACGUUACAGCAGCCGCGGUAAUACGGAGGGGGCAAGCGUUAUCCGGAUUUACUGGGUGUAAAGGGAGCGUAGAGGGCGAUGCAAGUCUGAAGUGAAAAGGGGGGGCCCAACCCCUGGACUGCUGUGGAAACUGUAUGGUGGGAGUGCGGGAGAGGUAAGUGGAAUGCCAGGUGUAGGAGUGAAAUCCGUAGAUAUCUGGAGGAACAUCAGUGGCGAAGGCGACUAUCUGGCACAUAACUGACGCUGAGGAGCGAAAGCGUGGGUAGCGAACAGGAUUAGAUACCCGAGUAGUC